AAUGGUAGGGUUAAUUAUCCAUUUACUUUUUUAUCCAAAUUAAUAUCGCAAAACCUGAAAAUUAUCAAAAUACCAAACCACUUUAACUUUACUUUGCCUUGCCUUUUUCCUCUUUAAAUUUUUUAUUAUUCACAAAUCACUAUUACAGUAUUAUUUUAUUCAGUUAUGAGAGAGAGAGAGAGACAGAGAGGAGGCGACCUUUCAAUAAAAGAAGUAAAGAACUGUUCUUCUGUUCUGUUCUGUUAGGCAGCUCUAAUUUUUGUUGUUUAUUUGAUCCGGAAAAGAGAAACAACACGAGAAUAGGGAUUCUCGCCGGAGGAAUUUUCCUUGUGUUCAGUGUUGCCGGAAAUUGGACUUUGGGAUCUC
Molecule: long non-coding RNA, 366 nt
Filed under: Linum usitatissimum (flax)
Lineage: Eukaryota; Viridiplantae; Streptophyta; Magnoliopsida; Malpighiales; Linaceae
Description: long non-coding RNA (LUSI_LNC001394)
Source: RNAcentral